UAGUCCACGCCCUAAACGAUGCUGACUAGUUGUUCGGGAUUUACAUCCUGAGUAACGUAGCUAACGCGUGAAGUCAGCCGCCUGGGGAGUACGGUCGCAAGAUUAAAACUCAAAGGAAUUGACGGGGACCCGCACAAGCGGUGGAUGAUGUGGAUUAAUUCGAUGCAACGCGAAAAACCUUACCUACCCUUGACAUGUCACUAACGAAGUAGAGAUACAUUAGGUGCUCGUAAGAGAAAGUGAACACAGGUGCUGCAUGGCUGUCGUCAGCUCGUGUCGUGAGAUGUUGGGUUAAGUCCCGCAACGAGCGCAACCCUUGUCUUUAGUUGCUACGCAAGAGCACUCUAAAGAGACUGCCGGUGACAAACCGGAGGAAGGUGGGGAUGACGUCAAGUCCUCAUGGCCCUUAUGGGUAGGGCUUCACACGUUAUACAAUGGUGCAUACUGAGGGUUGCCAACCCGCGAGGGGGAGCUAAUCUCAGAAAAUGCAUCGUAGUCCGGAUCGUAGUCUGCAACUCGACUACGUGAAGCUGGAAUCGCUAGUAAUCGCGGAUCAGAAUGUCGCGGUGAAUACGUUCCCGGGUCUUGUACACACCGCCCGUCAUACCAUGGGAGUGGGUUUUGCCAGAAGCCG
This 634-nucleotide ribosomal RNA is filed under the name uncultured beta proteobacterium. RNAcentral describes it as "bacterial SSU rRNA". It matches the Rfam family "Bacterial small subunit ribosomal RNA", at positions 791 to 1429 of the family's 1533-position model. The record is from RNAcentral. Lineage: Bacteria; Pseudomonadati; Pseudomonadota; Betaproteobacteria.